GCGUCCGUAGCUCAACGGUCAGAGCGCCUCGAUAUCUUAUAUACAAUGCUCCCAAGUUUAACGAGGAGACGUGGGUCCGACUCCCACUGGAGGUA
Molecule: non-coding RNA, 95 nt
Organism: Mycena alexandri
Lineage: Eukaryota; Fungi; Basidiomycota; Agaricomycetes; Agaricales; Mycenaceae
Source: the annotation of a GenBank genome assembly